This 429-nucleotide ribosomal RNA is filed under the name Chloroflexota bacterium. Its description in RNAcentral is "Chloroflexi bacterium partial 16S ribosomal RNA". It matches the Rfam family "Bacterial small subunit ribosomal RNA", at positions 355 to 776 of the family's 1533-position model. Lineage: Bacteria; Bacillati; Chloroflexota. The record is from RNAcentral.
UGGGGAAUAUUGCACAAUGGGCGCAAGCCUGAUGCAGCCAUGCCGCGUGUAUGAAGAAGGCCUUCGGGUUGUAAAGUACUUUCAGCGGGGAGGAAGGGAGUAAAGUUAAUACCUUUGCUCAUUGACGUUACCCGCAGAAGAAGCACCGGCUAACUCCGUGCCAGCAGCCGCGGUAAUACGGAGGGUGCAAGCGUUAAUCGGAAUUACUGGGCGUAAAGCGCACGCAGGCGGUUUGUUUAGUCAGAUGUGAAAUCCUCGGGCUCAACCUGGGAACUGAAUCUGAUACUGGCAAGCUUGAGUCUCGUAGAGGGGGGUAGAAUUCCAGGUGUAGCGGUGAAAUGCGUAGAGAUCUGGAGGAAUACCGGUGGCGAAGGCGGCCCCCUGGACGAAGACUGACGCUCAGGUGCGAAAGCGUGGGGAGCAAACAGG